This 71-nucleotide transfer RNA is filed under the name Phrynocephalus frontalis. Its description in RNAcentral is "tRNA-Leu". It matches the Rfam family "tRNA". From Rfam's summary of the family: Transfer RNA (tRNA) molecules are approximately 80 nucleotides in length. Lineage: Eukaryota; Metazoa; Chordata; Lepidosauria; Squamata; Agamidae. The record is from RNAcentral.
ACUUUUAAAGGAUAAUAGCAAUCCUGUGGUCUUAGGAGCCAUAAAUCUUGGUGCAACUCCAAGUAAAAGCU